This 460-nucleotide ribosomal RNA is filed under the name uncultured bacterium. RNAcentral describes it as "partial 16S ribosomal RNA". It matches the Rfam family "Bacterial small subunit ribosomal RNA", at positions 338 to 795 of the family's 1533-position model. The record is from RNAcentral.
CCUACGGGAGGCAGCAGUGAGGAAUAUUGGUCAAUGGGCGCAAGCCUGAACCAGCCAAGUAGCGUGCAGGAUGACGGCCCUAGGGGUUGUAAACUUCUUUUAUCCGGGGAUAAAGUGAGUCACGUGUGACUUUUUGUAUGUACUUUAUGAAUAAGGAACGGCUAAUUCCGUGCCAGCAGCCGCGGUAAUACGGAGGGUCCGGGCGUUAUCCGGAUUUAUUGGGUUUAAAGGGAGCGUAGAGGGGUUGUUAAGUCAGUUGUGAAAUGCUGGGGCUUAACCGUACAAUUGCAAGUGAUACUGGCAGGCUUGAGUGCUGUGGAGGUAGGCGGAAUUCGUGGUGUAGCGGUGAAAUGCUUAGAUAUCACGAAGAACUCCGAUUGCGAAGGCAGCCUACUGAACAGAUACUGACGCUGAGGCUCGAAAGUGUGGGUAUCAAACAGGAUUAGAUACCCGAGUAGUC